Molecule: long non-coding RNA, 2355 nt
Filed under: Heterocephalus glaber (naked mole-rat)
Lineage: Eukaryota; Metazoa; Chordata; Mammalia; Rodentia; Bathyergidae
Description: lncRNA (ENSHGLG00100051623.1)
Source: RNAcentral
GUUAUAUGUUUGUCUUGUUAGCAGGACAAGACCAAAAGUCCUAGGUACAUAAAGAAGGUGUGUGGAAGUGAUUUAUGAAGGAAAUAUAUAUGUUUACUUGUUGGUUUCAAGUUUGUUAUAAAAGGUUUACGGGAAUAGAGGUUUCAUUCCUUCUGAUUUUAAUUCUACAAGACAUCUCUGUUAAUUGACUUACAAAAAGUUUUAAAUAGUCUUAUUUAUAAUUAUAAACCUAAAAUUAUAAAGAGAUUAUAAUUCCUUUGGGCUAAAUAUAUUUGAGUGCACCCUAGUUUUAGAAAUUGUCUUAUAUCUUUGUUUUUUGUCCAAUCGUACAGCUGUUUUGUUUAUAGAUAAAGGUUAUUAAGUUCAAGGCAUGCUCCCCUUGGUGAACAAAGGAGCAGCCGCAUGGAAAUAUUUUCCAGUCUUUGUUCACUAGGGGGACCUCAACAGUUUUCAUCUUACAACAGACUGACCCGAUAGUUUUCAUAGCCUUAUAAAAGACUUACAGGAAUAAAUAUUAUUUAAAUAUAUUAUUAUACUGUUUAUAUCAAUUGUCAUCAAAGGGAUAAAUUCUAAAUAUGUUAUUAUGGUGUGCUUACACUGGUCAUUUUCAAAGGACUAAAUAUCCUGUAAAAAACAACAAUAACAAGGUUUUAUUUUUUCUAGUGUACUAAAUGUAUUUGUACUUUCUGACUGUACAGGUUUUCUAAUAUUUGUUUAUGAUAAUAAGCUCUUUUUGGUUCAGGUAUUUGCCUUUCCAUACACUCUAGCUAUUUAUGAUAACAGAUACAUAUAUGGGCUAUUUUCUUUAGAUGGUAUCCUAUCAAAAGAUUAUUUAUUUAUUUGUUUUUUAAAGAUAAUAAUUUAGGUAAAAACUUUUGGUGUUUUUAAAAAAUGAGUACGUUUAACAAUGGCUAUUUUAUAUCAAGAUGGACAUUUAAAUGUGUUACAAAGGUAAAGUCAUCAUAAUUGUCAUGUUAAAAUAUUAUUUGUGGCUCUUUUUCUGUUAAUAUUCUACAGGAAUUCAACAACUAAAAAACAACCAUGACUGAUAACAGUAAGAGCUCUCUAUAUUUUAAAUUCCAAAAUGCUUGCUAUUCCGGUAAAACUAUAAUAGUUAAGUUCAUUAUUCUUGUUACGAUGCUAACGCUAUUGACCUUCUCUUCUGGAUGUUCAACAACUAAAGUUUGGAGACCAGAACUAAAAGGUAACUGGGCUAUGAGGACAGCCAAUAUUUUGGCCCUGGCCCCUCAAGGUCAACAAAGUUCCAGGACAUGAGGGAACCUUCUCUACAGGGUCCUACAUCUUUGGAACGAUUGAGGGCAUUCACCAGCCAGACAGUCACAGAGUUCAUCAUGGCAGGGUACCAGCCAGUACGGCAAAAGGAAGAGGUCCCCACUUGCCACCGGCCUCAUGAGAUCCAGGUCUAGCCCCGAUCUUCGCCCCUGGUCAGCAGGAAGCAGCUCCAGAAGAAGAGACCUUCGCCCAACUAUCAUACAACAAAAGCCUGGAAUGAUAGGUCUCCCACCACCUCAGCAGCUAUUAUGUACAGUAGCUGCCCUCUUCCUAUGGUGCCUCACCCCCUACCCUGUGUGAUGUCAUGCCAAGAUGGUUGCUCCCACCAAAGAAUAAACCCUUCUUCCCAGCAUGCCCCUGUUCCCACCUAGAAAGUAACCUAAUACUCACCUCCUACAACCUAGUGACAUCACUGGCUCCUCCAUUCCCUAGUCACUACCUCACUCAACCCCACCUCAGCCCCUACAAACCCCACCCCAGUCUCUAUAAAAGACUCUCCCUGCCCCGGCCAUAUUGCUUUUGUCUCUCCUUUGUUCAGAGACAGCCCGGCAGAUCUAUUCCCCUAAUAAAGGCUUGCUGUGGCCUGGUCUGGUCUUGGUCUUUGGCCCUUUUACCUGACACCAUCUUAAUUGUAUAUAAAUCUAAAACUCGUAAUAUAUACAAGCUGUACUAUGAGUUGUUGUUUUUUUGGUUUUUCUUUCUUUUGGUACCGGGGAUUGAACUCAGGACCUUGUGCUGGUGAGGCAGGCAUGGUGCCACUGAGCUAAAUCCCCGGCCCUUCAAGCUCUGUUAUGUACACGUAGCCACUCCUCAAAUGAUUGUGAACUGCACAAUAAAAAUAAACAACAAUGUAAACUGCAGGCCUAAUUUCUAACACUGAAUCUCCCACCCUCAGCCAUGAUAGAACCCUAAAUGUAUUCCUAAACCUCAACCAAAUCCCAACAAAAACCACAACCCAAACUGCACCUUGCCCCUUCGUCCUAAGCCACUUCCUCACCCUAACUGUAGCGAAACUUUGAGGAUGCGACCUCACUUCCUUGGUAUUAGAACCCAACGAAGCUG